UACGUAGGUGGCAAGCGUUAUCCGGAAUUAUUGGGCGUAAAGCGCGCGUAGGCGGUCUGUUAAGUCUGAUGUGAAAGCCCCCGGCUCAACCGGGGAGGGUCAUUGGAAACUGGCAGACUUGAGUGCAGAAGAGGAGAGUGGAAUUCCAUGUGUAGAGGUGAAAUUCGUAGAUAUUCGGAGGAACACCAGUGGCGAAGGCGGCUCUCUGGUCUGUAACUGACGCUGAGGUGCGAAAGCGUGGGAUCAAACAGG
This 252-nucleotide unclassified non-coding RNA is filed under the name uncultured Staphylococcaceae bacterium. RNAcentral describes it as "contains 16S-23S intergenic spacer region". It matches the Rfam family "Bacterial small subunit ribosomal RNA", at positions 524 to 776 of the family's 1533-position model. The record is from RNAcentral. Lineage: Bacteria; Bacillati; Bacillota; Bacilli; Caryophanales; Staphylococcaceae.